AGUCGAGCGAGAAGUCACAUUACUAAUUCUUCGGAAGAAGUAAAGUGAUGGAAAGCGGCGGACGGGUGAGUAACGCGUAGGCAACCUGCCUCUCACAGGGGGAUAGCCAUCGGAAACGGUGAUUAAUACCCCAUAAAGUCAAAAUAACACAUGUUAAGCUGACCAAAGAUUUAUCGGUGAGAGAUGGGCCUGCGUCUGAUUAACUAGUUGGUGAGGUAACGGCUCACCAAGGUGACGAUCAGUAGCCGACCUGAGAGGGUGAACGGCCACAUUGGAACUGAGACACGGUCCAAACUUCUACGGAAGGCAGCAGUAGGGAAUCUUGCACAAUGGGCGAAAGCCUGAUGCAGCAACGCCGCGUGAAGGAAGAAGGCCUUAGGGUCGUAAACUUCUGUUCUUGGGGAAGAAAAAAAUGACGGUACCCAAGGAGGAAGCCCCGGCUAACUACGUGCCAGCAGCCGCGGUAAUACGUAGGGGGCAAGCGUUAUCCGGAAUUAUUGGGCGUAAAGCGUGCGUAGGUGGUAAUUUAAGCGCAAGGUUUAAACUAACGGCUCAACCGUUAAUUGCCAUGCGAACUGGGUUACUUGAGUGCUGGAGGGGAAAGCGGAAUUCCUAGUGUAGCGGUGAAAUGCGUAGAUAUUAGGAGGAACACCGGCGGCGAAGGCGGCUUUCUGGACAGCAACUGACACUGAGGCACGAAAGUGUGGGUAGCAAACAGGAUUAGAUACCCUGGUAGUCCACACCGUAAACGAUGAGCACUAGGUGUCGGGGUCGAUAGACUUCGGUGCCGCAGUUAACGCACUAAGUGCUCCGCCUGGGGAGUACGGUCGCAAGACUAAAA
RNAcentral lists this ribosomal RNA (841 nucleotides) under uncultured bacterium. RNAcentral describes it as "bacterial SSU rRNA". It matches the Rfam family "Bacterial small subunit ribosomal RNA", at positions 60 to 899 of the family's 1533-position model. The record is from RNAcentral.